GUGUCACUAAGGGAUCCUCCGAACACUUCACUAGGAUGGUUUAUUAAUUAAUCAGGAUUUCCUACUGAAGUGUUUGGGGGAACUCCAAGUGCCAC
Molecule: microRNA precursor, 95 nt
Filed under: Helianthus annuus (common sunflower)
Lineage: Eukaryota; Viridiplantae; Streptophyta; Magnoliopsida; Asterales; Asteraceae
Description: sRNA HanXRQr2_Chr16g0771031
Rfam family: mir-395 microRNA precursor family
About the family: mir-395 was identified in both Arabidopsis thaliana and Oryza sativa computationally and was later experimentally verified. mir-395 is thought to target mRNAs coding for ATP sulphurylases.
Source: Rfam by way of RNAcentral